This 270-nucleotide ribosomal RNA is filed under the name uncultured archaeon. Its description in RNAcentral is "partial 16S ribosomal RNA". It matches the Rfam family "Archaeal small subunit ribosomal RNA", at positions 717 to 982 of the family's 1478-position model. The record is from RNAcentral.
ACACGACUACAUUAGAUACCCCUGUAGUCCUAGGCGUAAAUGAUGCGAGUUAAGUGUGGGGGCGAUCUACGAGAUGGCCCUGUGCUGUAGGGUAGGCCGUUAAACUACGCUGCCUGGGAGUACGGUCGCAAGGCUGAAACUUAAAGGAAUUGGCGGGGGAGGCACCACAAGAGGUGGAGGGCUGCGGUUCAAUUGGACUCAAUGCCGGAAAAACUCAUCGGGAGCGACAGCAGUAUGAUUGCCAGGUUGAUGACCUUGCUUGACAAGCUG